CAGCAGCCGCGGUAAUACAGAGGGUGCGAGCGUUAAUCGGAUUUACUGGGCGUAAAGCGUGCGUAGGCGGCUAAUUGAGUCGGAUGUGAAAUCCCCGAGCUUAACUUGGGAAUUGCAUUCGAUACUGGUUAGCUAGAGUGUGGGAGAGGAUGGUAGAAUUCCAGGUGUAGCGGUGAAAUGCGUAGAGAUCUGGAGGAAUACCGAUGGCGAAGGCAGCCAUCUGGCCUAACACUGACGCUGAGGUACGAAAGCAUGGGGAGCAAACAGGAUUAGAUACCCGUGUAGUCCCUGUCUCUUAUAC
This 301-nucleotide ribosomal RNA is filed under the name uncultured bacterium. RNAcentral's name for it is "partial 16S ribosomal RNA". It matches the Rfam family "Bacterial small subunit ribosomal RNA", at positions 509 to 807 of the family's 1533-position model. The record is from RNAcentral.